Long non-coding RNA from Gasterosteus aculeatus aculeatus (three-spined stickleback), 4363 nucleotides. The record is from Ensembl. Lineage: Eukaryota; Metazoa; Chordata; Actinopteri; Perciformes; Gasterosteidae.
GCGAUAUCAUUCGAUGGUCUUUCACGGCAUGAUAUUAAAUUGAGCUAAUCUGCGCAUGUGCAUUGAAUUAAACUACACCUAACAAUGUACAGUAGCGAGCGGUCGCUUUGAUGUCGCCCUGUUGUCGACUUUGCACUUCCUCUCAGGUUGUAAAAGCUUGAACACACAGCUGUCUGUCAUCAUACACAGCAAGACAGCCUGUGUGUGUGUGUGUGUGUGUGUGUGUGUGUGUGUAUGAAAAGCAUAGCCUACCUGCUGCUUUCUCAUUAUUGCCUUUGAGAGCCUCAGCAAUAGUUAAACAUGUAUGUGUGUGUGUGUGUGUUUGUGUGUGUGUGUAAUGGGCUCUUUAUGAACGGAAGCUAUUGGAUGUUUGAAGUUUACCCUACUGGCAAAGAACGAAGAGGAGAGGGGUUUGGGGUUUUAUGUAGAGUGUUUAUGUGUGUGCGUGUGUGUGUGUGUGUGUGUGUGUGUGUGUGUGUGUGUGUGUGUGAGUAAAAGGGGGCACCCACUAAUAAUCAUUUACUGCAAGUGUGUGUACGGUAGAAGUGGGAGGUUUACACCUAAUAAUCGUGCUUCAGCUUGGUGUGUAUGUUUGCGUGUCCACAUUCCUAAACAGGAACUGACCACCUGUUGAUUGGCCAGUCUGGCUCUGCCUGCUCGCCAUGCACUCCUCUCAACGGUUGUUCUCUUUGGCUUUUUUAACAAAUAAAUUAAACCAAUUACCACAAUGGACACGUAUGCGAUGAUAGCCCCAAGAGAGGGAUUGCUGAUUGAUUUUCUUUGGUUGGAGCGCUGAAAAGCUGAUGCUAGUGCAAGUGCUUAAACAUUUACAAUUUACAAGUAUUGUACAACCAUCUGAAAUAAACACAAAGUUUAACAAAUGUUUAAAGAUCUGAUAAGUUAAUCAUGACAUUUAUACAGUCUUAUUUAUACAGGGCUUUCUUUCUUUUUCCUGCUUUGAUGUUCUGUAAUGUAUUUUAAUUUGUAUCUCAAGUAAGAUUCCUUGCAUGUGUACACAAACCUUUCCAAUAAAGCUGAUUCUGCUGGUGAUACUGGCAGUAUAGAGGGGGAAAGACAAGUGACCGAUAAAGAAGUUGUGUCUUGAAAAGUGAACGUUACAUUUCUUGCAAAAGAGGCGCAGUAAGACAGAGUGACGCAGACAUUUUAUGAACACAAUUACAGUAUGAGAGACGUCAAAUUGCCCUUAAUGAUGUAUUUGAUAAUGAUGUGUCUGAGAGCGCAGGGUGCAGGUCUGUGGGCUACACUGACUACACUCUACCGCCAUCUGUCACCUACUGGAAUCAUUUACCGACGGAGAGAGAGAGAGACUGAGAACCAGUUUAAUCUCAAAGAACUUCAUGAAAAAAUCUCCUGGGUUGAAGGAGAGAGCGAGCGAGAGGCAGUGCUGAGACGGAGGCCUUUGUCAGUCCUCACUCUUCUUCUCCCUCCGUCUCUCUCGCAAAAGAAACCCAGAUAAUUGAAGGCCUCGCUUUGGUUUGGUAAUCAAGAGGAGGGACGGACGAAAACGGAGACAAAGUGAUUGUAGAGCGAGAGAGAGGGAAGCCACGUCCACAUGUGUGACUCACUCUCCCUCCCUCCCCCACGCUCUAUAACUCUUCCCCCAUGACACUCUACCUCUAUCUCUCUCUCCGUCAACGAGGUCAAACUGAACUCAACGUUGCACCGACUUUCCUGUAUAAUGCUUCCACUAGAAUUGAUUAUUAAGAGUAGUAAUGUCAAAAAUAGCAUGAGGAGUCGCACUAGUUGUUGGGAAGUCACUGCUAACAGCAUCGUGAGCACUCUGAAUGUCAGGGACACACACACGCUGUCUGUUUUUCAUGUACGCGCCAAAAUAAUGUCGGACACAGUUGGGGGGCUCUUACUGUCGCUGUGCUGUUGAAUGAGCAGGAUGGGCAAACUUCAUACCAACUUUUCAGCUGCCUUUGUCCCUGCAGCAUCAAAAUAGGAAGGCCCGCCUCUUGCUCCAUUCGUAGCCAAAUACAUGUGGCUCUGAAAGCCUCCCUAGACUUUUUUCUUCUGACGUUUACAUGCAUCAAAUGUGCCGUUCCUUGCCUUGUUCUGAAGAAGACAAUGUGCGCUGAUUACACGGCUAUGGCUGCAAUCGGUGGGUCGAUGCUCUAACACACCGUUUAUCUCCUCAAAAUAAACAAAAAGUGGAACAUCAAGAGGCACUCGUGGCUUUUUGUCUCUGCAGUUUCCAAAGGAUACAGACUUGAUCGAUUGUGCGCCUGUUGAAGUAUUUCAUAGUGCUUAAAAAAAGGUUGUGUUUUGCUUUCAUGACCAGAAAUGUGUCUUUGUAAGAUAUUGACUACAUGGUUUGUAAACCCAACAACGUUUAUAUUCUGAAUGUGCCGUCAAAAAAACACUGGUCGGGUCGCCCCCAAUAUAUCAUAUCCUUUUUGUUCCAGAAGUGACACGGCUGACUGGAGAGGGACGCUGUAGACGGACAGAUGGACCAACGUCUUUUUUUCCUCUCAGCGUCCGGAGCGGGACACCCUCCCCUCACACGCAACACCCGGGGUUACAUCACCCAUCUGCGGCCAAUCACACGCUGGCAGUAGACGAGUAGUUGAGAAUGUUCCUACGUUCGCACGGGCAGGUCUAAGGCCUAUGUGGCCCUCGGUCCAGACACGGGCUCCUCAUGCAGAAAGAAAGGGAGACAUCAGGGAGUGAAGGAGAGUCUGGUAUACGGGAUGUGUUGCAUUAGGAAGAAGGGACGAGGAGGCCAGCUGAGAGGGAAUUAACGAAUGGAAACGCAGACUGGGGGAGUGACUCAGGAGAGAGAGGGAGAGGAAUGUUUAACACACUUUCAUGUCUCUCUGUUGAGACUCACUUUCUCUGUUUCCCAACAUGCAGAGAAUAUCAAACCCAUCCCCCUCCCUUCUCCUGACACACACACACACAGACACACACACACAGCAGACGGGCGGAGGAUGGAAACUAUGAGCACGGCGCUGCUGCCAGACGGCAGAGAGAGAGAGGAACGACCCACAGAAGGAAAAAUAUCCAGCAAUGCUCUGACUCGGUUUGUUCUAUUCUUUUCUGCUCUGUGUUCGGUUUGAAUACGAGAGAAGGAGUGUGAGCACAGCGAGCCUCUGGUUGUGGAUGUGGAGACACUAGACCUUCAUUUGGGAGUAGAAAUCAAGUCAUGACAUGGCUAACGUUACACAUCCAGAGAGCGCGGGCAUAAGGUGCCACUAAAGAAAAUCUAACACGCAUUAAAUGUCUUCUCAUUGGAGGAGAGAGUGGAGUGUUGUGAUACAACACACACACACACACACCUUCAUCAACCACUGACUAUCAGAUUAUUGCAAAAUGCUACAAUAGAUUCAUAUGAUUAUGCAUCUAAAUAUGUUUUUCUAACUUGGACACGUGUCACCACUGCAAAGAUUGAGUAUAGCAGCACAUGUGCGAGUGCUCUCACACACACACACACACACGUAGUUGUACGUCCACGCGGCGGCCAUGCGCAGUAGCUGGUCCUGCUGCACUUGAGCGCUGUUCAGGCCUGGUCAGAAGACCAGACUGUUUGACUCGGAUUGCUAACGUAGCAUGUAGCAUCAUCCUGUUUUAUGGAGACACGAAAUGAAACACUGUGAAUCGGAUCUGUGGCUCAAUUGAAAUGUGUGUGUGUGUGUGUGUGUGUGUGUGUGUGUGUGUGUGUGUGAGAGUUAAUGACGUGCCAUAACUUCCUAACAUCCUCCAUUUCCUGUGUUGUAAAUCCGCAGCCUCCAGUCUCCCGACUCACCUGUGUUGUGUGUGCUUGUGUUUGUGUGUGUAUGUUUAUGUGCGUGUGUAUUCUUCACCUCAUGGUGCGCUCAGGCGCCAUUCGUAGCCGUUUAAAAAGGAAGCCCUGCGGUGUGCUGACUCAAAGAGGCGAUGCUACAUCUGGGUUGGACUGAUGAAGCUACGCUAACAAGCUAUUUAAAAAUGAGCAAUAUAGUCCGAUAACAAAAACGAAACAAGAAGCACUGUAAACUGUUUGGUUGCUUCUUAUACUCGUGUCUAAAGGCCAAUAAUACCAUGAGGCAGGAUGGUACAAGACUGGAAAGAUAAAUCACUCAAUAUUCAGUACAGAUUUAGAUCAGAACUGAUCAGUUAUGCUUUUCAAAUUGUCAAUAUCUGAUAAUGUUAUAUCGUAAACAACUUAACCGUGUUGAAAUUGACUUGAAGAGAACGACGGUUCAUUCAGUUAUUCCUUCAGGUUCUGUGAAAGUCGUUCCACUGUCAUUUUGUGAAAAUGAGUUUUGGUCGAAGGAACGUUAUGACGUUAUAAUGAUGUGCUCAGUGAUCUGGUAAAAUGUCGUAUUGGUUUCAAACUCAAAUAAAUACAGUUUAACUU